UACGGCGGUCAUAGCGUGGGGGAAACGCCCGGUGCCAUUCCGAACCCGGAAGCUAAGGCCCACAGCGCCGAUGGUACUGCAACCGGGAGGUUGUGGGAGAGUAGGUCGCCGCCGGAC
Molecule: ribosomal RNA, 117 nt
Filed under: Micrococcus luteus
Lineage: Bacteria; Bacillati; Actinomycetota; Actinomycetes; Micrococcales; Micrococcaceae
Source: RNAcentral